UACAGAGGGUGCAAACGUUGUUCGGAAUCACUGGGCAUAAAGCGUAUGUCGGCGGCUCCGUAAGUGUCGGGUGAAAUCCCACGGCCUACCCGUGGAACUGUUCGGCAUACUGCGGAGCUAGAGGAUGGUAGAGGAGAGCGGAACUCUUGGUGGAGCGGUGAAAUGCGUAGAUAUCAAGAGGAACACCGGUGGCGAAGGCGGCUCUCUGGUCCAUUACUGACGCUGAGGUACGAAAGCUAGGGGAGCAAACGGG
Molecule: ribosomal RNA, 253 nt
Filed under: uncultured bacterium
Lineage: Bacteria
Description: partial 16S ribosomal RNA
Rfam family: Bacterial small subunit ribosomal RNA
Source: RNAcentral